Molecule: microRNA precursor, 114 nt
Filed under: Podarcis lilfordi (Lilford's wall lizard)
Lineage: Eukaryota; Metazoa; Chordata; Lepidosauria; Squamata; Lacertidae
Source: RNAcentral
UUUUAUAAUUGGUGGUGGUGGUGGUGAUGAUGAUGAUGAUGAUAUUUAUAUUUAUAUCCUGCCCACUCUGGGCGGCUCCCAUCAUCAUCAUCAUCAUCAUCAUCAUCAUGUGAU